RNAcentral lists this ribosomal RNA (492 nucleotides) under uncultured bacterium. RNAcentral describes it as "partial 16S ribosomal RNA". It matches the Rfam family "Bacterial small subunit ribosomal RNA", at positions 29 to 507 of the family's 1533-position model. The record is from RNAcentral.
AGCGAACGCUGGCGGUAGGCCUAACACAUGCCAGUCGAACGGCAGCACAGUAAGAGCUUGCUCUUACGGGUGGCGAGUGGCGGACGGGUGAGGAAUACAUCGGAAUCUACUUUUUCGUGGGGGAUAACGUAGGGAAACUUACGCUAAUACCGCAUACGACCUACGGGUGAAAGCAGGGGAUCUUCGGACCUUGCGCGAUUGAAUGAGCCGAUGUCGGAUUAGCUAGUUGGCGGGGUAAAGGCCCACCAAGGCGACGAUCCGUAGCUGGUCUGAGAGGAUGAUCAGCCACACUGGAACUGAGACACGGUCCAGACUCCUACGGGAGGCAGCAGUGGGGAAUAUUGGACAAUGGGCGCAAGCCUGAUCCAGCCAUACUGCGUGGGUGAAGAAGGCCUUCGGGUUGUAAAGCCCUUUUGUUGGGAAAGAAAAGCAGCAGGUUAAUACCCCGCUGUUCUGACGGUACCCAAAGAAUAAGCACCGGCUAACUUCGUG